GGCCAUCGCAGGGAGGGUUCCCUCUUCUCCUCGGCCAGGUUAGCCCUGGAGGAUCAUUGCUGGGGCUGCCGCGAGCUGGCGGCUUUGUUGUCCUGCCCCGGUCAUCU
RNAcentral lists this non-coding RNA (107 nucleotides) under Vulpes vulpes (red fox). The record is from RNAcentral. Lineage: Eukaryota; Metazoa; Chordata; Mammalia; Carnivora; Canidae.